AUCCUGGCUCAGGAUGAACGCUAGCGGCAGGCCUAAUACAUGCAAGUCGAACGAUAUCUGAGAGCUUGCUUUCAGAGAAAGUGGCGCACGGGUGCGUAACGCGUAUGCAACCUACCUUAAUCAGGGGGAUAGCCCGAAGAAAUUCGGAUUAACACCGCAUAAAAACACAGGAUAGCAUUAUCCAAUGUUCAAAUAUUUAUAGGAUUAAGAUGGGCAUGCGUGUCAUUAGCUAGUUGGCGGGGUAACGGCCCACCAAGGCGACGAUGACUAGGGGAUCUGAGAGGAUGACCCCCCACACUGGUACUGAGACACGGACCAGACUCCUACGGGAGGCAGCAGUAAGGAAUAUUGGUCAAUGGAGGCAACUCUGAACCAGCCAUGCCGCGUGCAGGAAGACAGCCCUCUGGGUCGUAAACUGCUUUUAUUCGGGAAUAAACCUAGAUACGUGUAACUAGCUGAAUGUACCGAAGGAAUAAGGAUCGGCUAACUCCGUG
This 494-nucleotide ribosomal RNA is filed under the name uncultured Pedobacter sp. Its description in RNAcentral is "bacterial SSU rRNA". It matches the Rfam family "Bacterial small subunit ribosomal RNA", at positions 16 to 507 of the family's 1533-position model. The record is from RNAcentral. Lineage: Bacteria; Pseudomonadati; Bacteroidota; Sphingobacteriia; Sphingobacteriales; Sphingobacteriaceae.